UACGUAGGUUGCGAGCGUUGUCCGGAAUUACUGGGCGUAAAGAGCUCGUAGGUGGUUUGUCGCGUUGUUCGUGAAAACUCACAGCUCAACUGUGGGCGUGCGGGCGAUACGGGCAGACUGGAGUACUGCAGGGGAGACUGGAAUUCCUGGUGUAGCGGUGGAAUGCGCAGAUAUCAGGAGGAACACCGGUGGCGAAGGCGGGUCUCUGGGCAGUAACUGACGCUGAGGAGCGAAAGCGUGGGGAGCGAACAGG
RNAcentral lists this ribosomal RNA (253 nucleotides) under uncultured bacterium. Its description in RNAcentral is "partial 16S ribosomal RNA". It matches the Rfam family "Bacterial small subunit ribosomal RNA", at positions 524 to 776 of the family's 1533-position model. The record is from RNAcentral.